RNAcentral lists this ribosomal RNA (253 nucleotides) under uncultured bacterium. RNAcentral's name for it is "partial 16S ribosomal RNA". It matches the Rfam family "Bacterial small subunit ribosomal RNA", at positions 524 to 776 of the family's 1533-position model. The record is from RNAcentral.
UACGUAGGCAGCGAGCGUUGUUCGGAGUUACUGGGCGUAAAGGGUGUGUAGGCGGCGCGGUAAGUCGGGUGUGAAAUCUCGGAGCUUAACUCCGAAACUGCAUUCGAUACUGCCGUGCUUGAGGACUGGAGAGGAGACUGGAAUUUACGGUGUAGCGGUGAGAUGCGUAGAUAUCGUAAGGAAGACCAGUGGCGAAGGCGGGUCUCUGGACAGUUCCUGACGCUGAGGCACGAAGGUCAGGGGAGCAAACGGG